RNAcentral lists this ribosomal RNA (253 nucleotides) under uncultured bacterium. Its description in RNAcentral is "partial 16S ribosomal RNA". It matches the Rfam family "Bacterial small subunit ribosomal RNA", at positions 524 to 776 of the family's 1533-position model. The record is from RNAcentral.
GACAGAGGAUGCAAGCGUUAUCCGGAAUGAUUGGGCGUAAAGCGUCUGUAGGUGGCUUUUUAAGUCCGCCGUCAAAUCCCAGGGCUCAACCCUGGACAGGCGGUGGAAACUACCAAGCUGGAGUACGGUAGGGGCAGAGGGAAUUUCCGGUGGAGCGGUGAAAUGCGCAGAUAUCAGGAGGAACACCAGUGGCGAAGGCGACCACCUGGACUGAUACUGACACUGAGGUGCGAAAGCGUGGGGAGCAAACAGG